UCUCACCUUUUAAGUCUUGUUUAAAGCUAAACCAUAUAAACUAUUAUAAAAGAUGAAAAUAUUAGUCAUUUUUCCAGGUCUCAUGGUGGCCAGAGUAAAUCAUGACUCGGCUUGGCCAACUGGACUCACAUACCUGGAUUUUGAAAUGAGAACUAGUGACACCAGGGAAGAGGAAUAGAAGGAUACCUCUACUAGAAGUAGCAAUGGCAGGAAGGUGGAGUUCCCAGCAUAGUAGUGGCAAUGGUUUCCAGCAUACUUGUUCUCAGGGUCCAGGACAGAGGGGGGCGAUGUUGCAUUCUGGUUUCCCACAGGUUUGAGCAUUAGCAGCACCAUCCUCAGCAAAUGGGUGCUAUGGCAUAAUUUCAGCCAAUUCUGAUUAGAGUACCAUUUUUUUUUUCCUGUCCAUCUACCCAACUUAGUUUUCUCCGGUCUUUCCAGAGAUUCUUUGAGCCAUCCAGUUUCCUUUUACAAAAUGUCUUUUCUGAUUGAAUAAAUCAGAAAAUCUGGCUGACUUAAAAUGUGACUAGGGUGACCCUGCAUGCCUGUUUUCCCAGAAAAGUUUUGGUUCAUGCUGGUUGUUGUAGUAGUAAAUAUUGAUAACACAAAAUUUUUCUUUAUAAAGUUUCCACAUUCAUACAAUAAAUUAAUUAUAUUGUAUACCUAACAAUGAGGACAUCUCUCCCUUUUGUAACAUGUAAAUGAAGAUGAUAUAAAUAGUGUACUAGCUAGUAUAUUCUAGGUAAUUUAAAAAUAGGAUUAAAAAACCUAAAUUGUAAAUUCAGAUUCUGAUCAUGCCUGUUUCUAGAACAUAUUUGGACAUGAAUCAUUCAUGUUUGAAGCUAUAUAAUUAACAGAUUUCUUGCCUCAAAGUAAGUAUAAGUUGGGCAGCAUUUAUGUCUAUGAUAAGAAUUAAAGAACACAGCAUAUUUUACCUCUAUUUGUGGUUGUUGUUGAAAUAUGUGUUCAUAACCUUCAACGAAUAUUAGAAAAGUAAUUAAUUUAUUCAUAUUUUAAGAAGAGCUGCUGGAAGCCAAGAAAUGAAAAGAGAAUGGGGAAAUCCAGACAGAUUUAUGUAUAUAUUAAGGGUUUAUCUUCGAGGUUGAAAUCACAUUUCAAGAGGAAACUCUGCAUGGGACGCUCUGAAGGAAAGUAUUGAUAACUAAUGUACCCACUAGAACCUCUUCUCAUGUAAAAAUUGCCACUGUCCCCAGCAAAUUCCGUCAAUCCUUUUUCAAAUGCUAGCUUAUUAAAGACAUACCAAAAAGUGGGUAACUAGGGCUAAAUCUGAGACCAUGAUGUUUCAGAGUUUUA
Macaca mulatta (Rhesus monkey) is the source of this 1311-nucleotide non-coding RNA. The record is from RefSeq and is a predicted model, not a curated record. Lineage: Eukaryota; Metazoa; Chordata; Mammalia; Primates; Cercopithecidae.